GCGCACCAGGCGCGAAUACUUUACAAUGUGCGAAAGCACGAUAAGGGAACUCUGAGUGCCUCCUAAGGAGGCUGUUCAGGUGUCUAAAAAGCACCUGAAGGAAGGGCUGGGUAAGACCGGUGCCAGCCGCCGCGGUAACACCGGCAGCCCAAGUGGUAGCCACGUUUAUUGGGUCUAAAGCAUCCGUAGCCGGCUGGGUAAGUUCCUUGGGAAAUUUGGCUGCUUAACAGUCAAGCUUUCAGGGAAUACUGCCCGGCUUGGGACCGGGAGAGGUCAGAGGUACUCCAGGGGUAGGGGUGAAAUCCAUUAAUCCUUGGGGGACCACCGGUAGCGAAGGCGUCUGACCAGACCGGGUCCGACGGUGAGGGACGAAGGCUAGGGGCGC
This 385-nucleotide ribosomal RNA is filed under the name uncultured microorganism. RNAcentral describes it as "bacterial SSU rRNA". It matches the Rfam family "Archaeal small subunit ribosomal RNA", at positions 330 to 720 of the family's 1478-position model. The record is from RNAcentral.